This is a long non-coding RNA of Bombus impatiens (common eastern bumble bee), 178 nucleotides long. RefSeq lists it as uncharacterized. NCBI's taxonomy places the organism in Eukaryota, Metazoa, Arthropoda, Insecta, Hymenoptera, Apidae. The transcript has 2 exons. The record is from RefSeq and is a predicted model, not a curated record.
AUCAGAUUCUAUUAGGUUGUCCGAAAAGUUUCUUUCGUUUCAUGAGGAAAUAAUAGACGCACAACGUUUUUUGUUUUAUAUUAUUUUGUCCAAUUACGUACGAUCCAUUUCGUUCCAUUGAGAUAAACAUCGCGACAUUUCACAAACUUUGUUUCACGUUUGUAUGAAGGUGCAUUGU